Neogale vison (American mink) is the source of this 2536-nucleotide long non-coding RNA. RefSeq lists it as uncharacterized. NCBI's taxonomy places the organism in Eukaryota, Metazoa, Chordata, Mammalia, Carnivora, Mustelidae. The transcript has 4 exons. The record is from RefSeq and is a predicted model, not a curated record.
GGGAGCCCCGCGGUCCCGCCCGCUGCGGGGAGGGGACGAGGGGCGACCCUGCGUGGCCCGCCACCUGCGACAGUCCCCUGCUCAGAGAAGUUUCCAGAGGAUUGGAGAAUGAAACAGCAGGUGCAUUCUGGAUUUCUUUUAUCCUAAUAAAACUCCUCCAAAGAAUUUGCCGUUUUCCCCUCUGUUUAAUAGCCAGGAUCUGGUUUCAGACCUGCCAGCAUAUUCCCUCAGCAACCCUCCCUGCUCAGCACUUGUCCCGGGUUGACCUCCAUCCUGUUCAUUUCUAUCAUGUUUUAAGGAGCAUGGAACAUCAAAGCCACUAUUUUCUCUAUGGGGAAUCUGCCUUUCCUUGAAAUAGAAGUUGAAGAAUUAUUUAAAGAAUAUCCUUUCAAGGGAGCAGCAGUUGGAUCAUUGGUUUACCCAGAGCCCUCAUAUAUCCCCAUUCAGCCAUGGUGAGCAGGGGGGACCACACCCUUUCAACUCUUCGAGUUUACAAGAGGGAGAUUCCAACUCUAUCAGCCCUUCCUCUGCCUGAUGGACCAGAGACUUCACAGCCCUGAUUCUGUCAGCUCCUCAGUGGAGCUUUCCUUUCAGGUGAACCUAGACCUGGACCUGUUUGUGGUAGGUGUGUCUGUGCCUAAGAUAAGGGCACUGCCACCCACUCAGUUACCUCCCAAAAGACUGUAGAGAUGGGACCCUUUUCAUUUCUUUACACCAUUAACUCAUCCAGUCAUUUAAGUCAGUAAAUACUCAUUGAGCUCCUACAAAUGUGUCAGGCACUAUGCUAGGCACUGAAGGACGAGCAGAGAACAGACAAAUACCCAACUUGCAUGGAAUAUUGUGGUGGGUAAAAUAAGAUAUAGGCAGAUAAAUAUAUAAAUAUAGGAUCUGUCCAGUGGGGAUACUCUGCAAGGGACAAUUAAGCAAAAUCAGGGAAUACAGAGAUGAUGAAGGGGAUUCUAUUUGAUAUAAAGUAGUCAGAAAAGACCUCCCUGAUAAUGCAACGUCUGAGCAGAGCACGGGCCCAUGUACGCAACACCUGUCUCAUCCUUAGCCACUGGCUUUUCUUGGCUGUUAUAGCAGCUAACAGACUCCAUCCAGACCCCUGUAGUUUCUCUGUCUGAGGAUCAUAAGCCACAGGUCUACAAUAUCUGACUGCUCUCCCCAACCCUCUCCAAACUCAGCUGAAAUGCCAAGUCAUAGGCCUUGUCUCCUGAGCAACUGCCAAUGGGGCUAAAGGAUGAAAUACAGAAAUGCGGAGGAUUUAAUUUCCCCUGAAUGAACUUUGACCAGAGGGAGACAGGAGAUUGGAUAUUCUGGGCAGAUGAACUUCCUCUUCUUAUUUCCCUCUGAUAGACUGUUCCGGUAUUUGGUUUCUCCAUUCAGCAUCUCUGAAGUCAACCUGUGUGACCAAACCUAUUUGCUUCCCGAGUGUUAUAAUUUGGACUGCGUUCCCCAAAAGAUAUGUUGAAGUCUUAACCCCAGAAUGUUAUUUGGAAAGAGGGUCUUUGCAGAUGUUAUCAAGUUAAGAUGAGAUCAUCAGGGUGGAGCCUAACCUAAUACAGCUGAUGCCCUUAUAAGAAGAAAAGACAGGACACAGAGGGAGAAGAUGGCCAUAUGAUGACAGAGAGGAAGACUGGAAUGAUCCAUCUACCAGGUAAGAAACAUCAAGGAUUGCCAGCAAACACCAGAAGCCAGAAGAGGCAAGGAAGGAUCUCCUCUACAGUUUUCAGAGGGCAUGUGGCCUUGCCAACAUCUUUAUUUUGGAUUUCUAGCCUCCAGAACUGCAAGACAAUAAAUGUCUAUUGUUUUAGGGAGACCAUGUUCAUAGUACUUUGUUACAGUGGCCCUAGGAAACAAACACACUGAGUGACCAGCUAUGUUGGAUUUACCUCCCAAAUAAAGCACUAACAGUCCAUGCCUGAGGCUCUGUUUUCCAGAAAACUGUGACUGUGACAAAGACCUGAAUAAAGUGAAGGAUGGUAUUUGAGGACAGAGAUUACAGACACAGGGGAGACAAUCCAAAGGUGGCAGCAUGCUUGAUGUGUUAGAGGACCCAGAAGAAAGCUAGUGUGUUUGGAGAAUGAAUAAGGAGAAAAGUGCCAAGAAAUGAAGUCAAAGAGGGAGCCAAAGAUGCUAUCCCUAGGGCCUUAUGGACCACAGAGAAGACUUUAAAUUUUUUUAACAAGGUAUUAGUGAGAUGUAAUUUACACAUAAUAGUAAAAUGAACAAAUGUUAUAGGUAUGGUUUUGUGAAAUUUUUUUUACACAUUGCUCUGGUUUGAAUAUGCCCCCCAUUCAUGUGUUAAAAACGAAUCCCCAAGGUAAUGGUAUUGAGAGGUGGGACCUUUGGGAGGUGACUAAGUCAUGAGGGCAUAUAUAUUAUAAAAAAGACCCAAAAGAGCUCCCUUGCCUCCUGCUACAUGAAGACAAAGGAAGUCCGCCAUUGGAAGAGGGCCAUUACCAUCCUGGCACUCUGAUCACAGAUUUCUAGCCUCCAGAACUGUGAGAAAUAAAUUUCCAUGGUUUAUAAGCUA